RNAcentral lists this long non-coding RNA (614 nucleotides) under Vulpes vulpes (red fox). RNAcentral's name for it is "lncRNA (ENSVVUG00000028323.1)". The record is from RNAcentral. Lineage: Eukaryota; Metazoa; Chordata; Mammalia; Carnivora; Canidae.
ACCCAGGACCAAAUGCCCAGCAUCUUUCUGAGCAAGCGGUAAACACUGCAGCAAGAAGCAAGCUAAUUCCCCUCCCUGGGGCAAUAGUCACAUCGUAGUUACACGUGGUCACACCUUCAUCUUCUUCAGUGUCAGGAGAUGGAGGAGCCUCGCAGUCUUGUCACAGACUGAUUUUGAAGUAGAAUUGCCUUCCUGUCUGUCUCAAAGCCAUGAGAGCUCCAUUGCUGGUGGCAGUUCGGUUCCCUCCUACUUGGCGGCGAUGGCUUCUGGCAACCUGGUUCCCAUCAGCAAAAGCCCUUACCAUAAAAUAGGACAUAUCUCAGUGCCUGCAUAUACACCGGUGGACGUACGGUUACGUCGUUCCUGAUGUUUCUGUCACAAACCUGCCUGCCCACGUAGGUGGGUGCCUUCAUUGCUACACGCUGAAGCAAGUGAAUUCAGGGAAGUAAAACCAAUUUUACUGUGAUUUUUGCGGGAGGUAUCAACAGAUUGCCCUCCUGAAAGGUUUACCCAUUUAUUCUUGGUUUGGACCCUCGUCCAUUUAAAUCCGGUGACAAUGCUGAUUCUUGGUUGAUGGGAAUAAAUCGAGAAUGUAGAUAAAUGUGUCUGUGGCC